UCCGAUUUGGCACCGGCGGUCUCCCAUGAGUCCCCGGCAUGACCCGCUGGCAACAUGGGACAGGGGUUGCGCUCGUUGCGCCACUUAAGGCAACACCUCACGACACGAGCUGACGACAGCCAUGCAGCACCUGUCUCUGCGUUCCCGAAGGCACCAAUCCAUCUCUGGAAAGUUCCGAGUAUGUCAAGGGCAGGUAAGGUUCUUCGCGUUGCAUCGAAUUAAACCACAUGCUCCACCGCUUGUGCGGGUCCCCGUCAAUUCAUUUGAGUUUUAACCUUGCGGCCGUACUCCCCAGGCGGUCUACUUAGUGCGUUAGCUGCGCCACCAAAACCUCAAGGGUCCCGACGGCUAGUAGACAUCGUUUACAGCGUGGACUAC
This 378-nucleotide unclassified non-coding RNA is filed under the name uncultured Gammaproteobacteria bacterium. RNAcentral's name for it is "contains 16S-23S intergenic spacer region". Lineage: Bacteria; Pseudomonadati; Pseudomonadota; Gammaproteobacteria. The record is from RNAcentral.